Long non-coding RNA from Daphnia pulex (common water flea), 1204 nucleotides. RefSeq lists it as uncharacterized. NCBI's taxonomy places the organism in Eukaryota, Metazoa, Arthropoda, Branchiopoda, Diplostraca, Daphniidae. The record is from RefSeq and is a predicted model, not a curated record. The transcript has 6 exons.
CCGAUCCGCUCAACCGUUGGUUUAUCCGUUUAUGUCAAAGUAAAAGUAAACAAAACCUUGCGGUUAAUGUUUGGGCAAUGGGAGCUUGGGAUCAAGAAGUUGUGCUGUGUUUCUUUCAGUAAAGCAAGAUUUGCAUAGAAAGGUGAUGAAAUAGUUCAUGAAUAAUUUUACGACAAGAAGCUGCCAUACUACGACACACUUUGACAUGAGUAUCUGAAAUUCCAGUGAACCAGUCAGUUCACCAGCAAAAAAACAGCUUCUAGUCCUGGCAAAAGCCAGAAAACAAUGUAAGAAGAAACAUCAACAAUUUAUCAUUUCAGGAGACUAUAACAGAUCUGUGCAUCACACAAGGUAAUCAAGAGUUUGCAGUCAGCAGCAUACUCAGUAGCCUACUCUUUUUUCUAAAGACGAAAUGAAUCCUUGAAGAUGUCUUGGAGCUGUUGUCACUUUGUCCAACAGCGUCCUGGAAGAACUGCUACUUUGCAUCACCACAAUUUAAAACAUUCCAGCCACAGAGUUCCAGCACAGCACAUGCUUUACAGAUAUGAGCUAACUACAACAUUUGAUAUAAAUUCACAGGUACAGGUUGUAGAUAAUGUAGAAGAACUGGAAAAGAAAUAGAAUUUGGUUGCUCUAGUACUGCUACUCAUUCACCUUAGGGGCCAUAUUAGGGAUUAAUUAUUCGGCAAUUUUUCCGCAAUUAGAUGGCGCGAGUGUCUUCGUUACUCAAGAGUCCAGACGAAAUUCCGCCAUUUCCUAAAACACUGAUUGGAAACCGCAUGUUGAAAACGUAUCGUUGGAUUGGAUACUUCUUAAUACGGCGUACUUUUCUUUCUUGACAUUUUUAUUCGUAAUAAUGGUAUUUAUCUGGUAACAGCCUAUAAUUUCUAAAUGGCAAUUUAAUCUGAUCAUGUGGCCUGAGCAGCUGAACAUUUUGCCAAAAUGUCUCUUUUUCUUGUACCAGCUUCACGUUUGUCAGAAACACUUCGGAACACUUCGGGAAUAAUGUGCUGGUGGAGUUGAGCUUUCAGUUGCUGCCCAACGUAAAUAUGGAUUUGAAGCAGCCAUCUGAUAAGGGUGUUCCUCUUGCUACCUGUACUGUUGUGUGUUUCAUCACACGAAGAAACACUUAGCUACAAUCGAAGUUUAGCGUUUAUGUUCGCGUAGUUGCUGUCCGAUGUCAAUGUGGCACGUUGUUGCAGCC